AAAYGACUCUCGGCAACGGAUAUCUCGGCUCAUGCAUCGAUGAAGAACGUAGCAAAAUGCGAUACUUGGUGUGAAUU
RNAcentral lists this ribosomal RNA (77 nucleotides) under Ekmaniopappus mikanioides. Its description in RNAcentral is "partial 5.8S ribosomal RNA". It matches the Rfam family "5.8S ribosomal RNA", at positions 1 to 73 of the family's 154-position model. From Rfam's summary of the family: 5.8S ribosomal RNA (5.8S rRNA) is a component of the large subunit of the eukaryotic ribosome. It is transcribed by RNA polymerase I as part of the 45S precursor that also contains 18S and 28S rRNA. Lineage: Eukaryota; Viridiplantae; Streptophyta; Magnoliopsida; Asterales; Asteraceae. The record is from RNAcentral.